CCUACGGGAGGCAGCAGUGGGGAAUAUUGGACAAUGGGCGGAAGCCUGAUCCAGCAACGCCGCGUGAGGGAUGACGGCCUUCGGGUUGUAAACCUCUUUCAGUACCGACGAAGCGAGAGUGACGGUAGGUACAGAAGAAGCACCGGCCAACUACGUGCCAGCAGCCGCGGUAAUACGUAGGGUGCGAGCGUUGUCCGGAAUUAUUGGGCGUAAAGGGCUCGUAGGCGGUUUGUCGCGUCGGGAGUGAAACACCGGGCUUAACUCGGUGCUUGCUUUCGAUACGGGCAGACUAGAGGUAUGCAGGGGAGAACGGAAUUCCUGGUGUAGCGGUGAAAUGCGCAGAUAUCAGGAGGAACACCGGUGGCGAAGGCGGUUCUCUGGGCAUUACCUGACGCUGAGGAGCGAAAGUGUGGGGAGCGAACAGGAUUAGAUACCCUGGUAGUCCACACCGUAAACGUUAGGGCGCUAGGUGUGGGAUCCAUUCCACGGGUUCCGUGCCGCAGCUAACGCAUUAAGCGCCCGCCUGGGGAGUACGGCCGCAAGGCUAAAACUCAAAUGAAUUGACGGCUGGUGAGUUGCGACGACGACGACGAGGAGGAGG
This 601-nucleotide ribosomal RNA is filed under the name uncultured bacterium. Its description in RNAcentral is "bacterial SSU rRNA". It matches the Rfam family "Bacterial small subunit ribosomal RNA", at positions 338 to 956 of the family's 1533-position model. The record is from RNAcentral.